ACACAUGCAAGUCGAACGCUGAAGCACCAGCUUGCUGGUGUGGAUGAGUGGCGAACGGGUGAGUAAUACGUGAGUAACCUGCCCUUGACUCUGGGAUAAGCCCGGGAAACUGGGUCUAAUACUGGAUGCUACAUGUCACCGCAUGGUGGUGUGUGGAAAGGGUUUACUGGUCUUGGAUGGGCUCACGGCCUAUCAGCUUGUUGGUGAGGUAAUGGCUCACCAAGGCGACGACGGGUAGCCGGCCUGAGAGGGUGACCGGCCACACUGGGACUGAGACACGGCCCAGACUCCUACGGGAGGCAGCAGUGGGGAAUAUUGCACAAUGGGCGAAAGCCUGAUGCAGCGACGCCGCGUGAGGGAUGACGGCCUUCGGGUUGUAAACCUCUUUCAGCAGGGAAGAAGCCACAAGUGACGGUACCUGCAGAAGAAGCGCCGGCUAACUACGUGCCAGCAGCCGCGGUAAUACGUAGGGCGCAAGCGUUGUCCGGAAUUAUUGGGCGUAAAGAGCUCGUAGGCGGUUUGUCGCGUCUGCUGUGAAAGCCCGGGGCUUAACCCCGGGUGUGCAGUGGGUACGGGCAGACUAGAGUGCAGUAGGGGAGACUGGAAUUCCUGGUGUAGCGGUGGAAUGCGCAGAUAUCAGGAGGAACACCGAUGGCGAAGGCAGGUCUCUGGGCUGUUACUGACGCUGAGGAGCGAAAGCAUGGGGAGCGAACAGGAUUAGAUACCC
RNAcentral lists this ribosomal RNA (727 nucleotides) under Kocuria sp. OC-C3-18. Its description in RNAcentral is "bacterial SSU rRNA". It matches the Rfam family "Bacterial small subunit ribosomal RNA", at positions 51 to 787 of the family's 1533-position model. Lineage: Bacteria; Bacillati; Actinomycetota; Actinomycetes; Micrococcales; Micrococcaceae. The record is from RNAcentral.